UGCAAAUUUGGUGUAUAUUGAGUGUGAAUUUAUAUAUUUGCGCUAAUGUCAAUUCAGAGUGAUUUCAUUGCAAAAAUAGAAUUUGCUAAAUAUAUCACACAUGGCGCAAUUUUAGUACCGAUUUUCAAAAAGGCACUCGUUUCGAAUUUACGGCAAAUUUCAUGCAAAUUCCACAUUUGCACAAAUAUUCACAUACCGUUUCGUAUUUGCACAUUAAGGCCUGAUUCCACGAGCGCUUUUUCUGGCCGAAAUGCGAAUUAUUUCGCCCGUUUCUUUUGAAUUGCGACUACUCGAAUAAAUUAUUUCUAUACUUGAUUGCUCACAAUUCAAAAGAAACAGGCGAAAUAUUUCGCAUUUCGCCGAGAAAAAGCGCCCGUGGAAUCAGGCCUUUAGAUGUGUUUAUAGAAUCUACAGAACCGCAGUUAUUUUAUUGGUUUGAAAUAUUAUGCUGUAGUGUUAGCGAGAGACGUAAAUUCAGGUGAAUUUCAGUUUAUAAGUAAGAGUUAUAAACCGAGAAGGAGGUUUAUAAUUAUAGUUAUUUAAUAGUAUAUGCACACAAUAUAUACAGAACAUAUAUUAUAAUGAAAGCUAUACGUAUACAGUAUAACAAACGCAAAAGGCCAUCAAACAGGUUUAUUUCUUAGCUGGAAUGCUUUUUAAGCGUAAGCGCAAGCAUAAGCACACGCAUAAGGAACGAAACGUUUUGAUUCGGCUUUACCGUUUAUCCACUCUUAACCUAGGCCUCGUUUAUUCACUUUUAACCUAGACCUGAAAGUUGAAAGUUGUAUUCCCCGUGUUUCCUACACAAUAUAUUUGUUUCUCGCUGAUCCUUAGUUCAAGAAUAAGUAAGUUCUUAUCUUACGUGCAUGAAACAUGAAUAAAUACAUGAGAAUAAUACGAGGUCGGUCAGAAAUGAAUAAACAGUAAGGUAUAUAUAACAUAAUAGCCUAAUUAAUACGAAACUCUGCAUGCGUCCGUUUCUUAAAUUACUUUUCUGACCGCAACAUGAGCACGAGCUAGUAUAUAAGCAUAACCAUAAGCACAAGAAUUAAUCCGUUCCUACAAAUCACUCUUGAUAAUAUCGUGGUGAAAGCAAUAAUACUGUCUUGGCCAACAUAAGGACAAUUACAGUAUGUUCGAGCAUAUGCUUAUACACAGCAAAAAAUCAUUUUCUUAUUUUAAGAAAAAAAAACUUGUUUUAAGAAAAUUUUCUUGAAAUAAGAAAAUAUUUUC
Molecule: non-coding RNA, 1233 nt
Organism: Paramuricea clavata
Lineage: Eukaryota; Metazoa; Cnidaria; Anthozoa; Malacalcyonacea; Plexauridae
Source: the annotation of a GenBank genome assembly